UCUCUCUCUCUCUCUCUCUCAAAUCCAAUCCUCAUCUUUGUCCCCAAGUCGGAAUCUGAGCAUCUCCUCUCUGCCGAUGCCGCGAUGCAAGAACCAUCGGAGAGGAGACAGAGUGGGGUGAUUCAGUCGAGUUCGACAGGGAUGGUGUGAAAGGCCUUUAUUUGGGCAGAAAUUCAACGACUUAGUAUUGAAUCUGGAGUGAGGAUGUCUGUGUUGCAGAGCCUUUGAUGGGAGAAAAAAUUCAAUGCCUUGGACUGAAUCUUGGUGAUUUUUUUUCCCUCUUUUAAUAAUUUUUAAUAUUUUAAUAUUUUCUCUUAAUUUCAUCACAGCAUCAGACCCACUGUGAUCCUUUCUCCAUCAAACCCAUGUAAUUUUCGUUUUAUGGAGGAUUUGUUUUCUUCCAUGUAUGAGGUUAUGGAUUUGUGCUUCAAAAUAAGGUGAAGUGUCUUGGGUUGCCAUUACCAUUUCAAAGACUGUAUUGCUAAAUCUAAAGGGGUAUACUCACUUGGACUUUUCAUGCAUACUUGGUGAGACUCUCACCUUCUUCUGAGAGCCUAAUAUUUAGGGGCUUACAUUUGUGUACUCUACAAGUUAUAAA
This is a long non-coding RNA of Prunus dulcis (almond), 598 nucleotides long. RefSeq lists it as uncharacterized. The transcript has 3 exons. Lineage: Eukaryota; Viridiplantae; Streptophyta; Magnoliopsida; Rosales; Rosaceae. The record is from RefSeq and is a predicted model, not a curated record.